AACGAACGCUGGCGGCAUGCCUAACACAUGCAAGUCGAACGGGAUCCAGGCUUCGGCCUGGUGAGAGUGGCGGACGGGUGAGUAACACGUGGGAACCUGCCUUUUGGUUCGGGAUAACCGCGGGAAACUGCGGCUAAUACCGGAUGCUCCCGAGAGGGGAAAGAUUUAUCGCCAGAAGAGGGGCCCGCGUCCGAUUAGGUAGUUGGUGGGGUAAUGGCUCACCAAGCCGACGAUCGGUAGCUGGUCUGAGAGGAUGAUCAGCCACACUGGGACUGAGAUACGGCCCAGACUCCUACGGGAGGCAGCAGUGGGGAAUAUUGGACAAUGGGGGCAACCCUGAUCCAGCAA
Molecule: ribosomal RNA, 348 nt
Filed under: uncultured bacterium
Lineage: Bacteria
Description: bacterial SSU rRNA
Rfam family: Bacterial small subunit ribosomal RNA
Source: RNAcentral